UAGGGAAUCUUCGGCAAUGGACGAAAGUCUGACCGAGCAACGCCGCGCGUGUGAAGAAGGUUUUCGGAUCGUAAAACUCUGUUGUUAGAGAAGAACAAGGACGUUAGUAACUGAACGUCCCCUGACGGUAUCUAACCAGAAAGCCACGGCUAACUACGUGCCAGCAGCCGCGGUAAUACGUAGGUGGCGAGCGUUGUCCGGAUUUAUUGGGCGUAAAGCGAGCGCAGGCGGUUUCUUAAGUCUGAUGUGAAAGCCCCCGGCUCAACCGGGGAGGGUCAGUGGAAACUGGGAGACUUGAGUGCAGGAGAGGAGAGUGAAAUUCCGUGUGUAGCGGUGAAAUGCAUAGAUAUAUGGAGGAACACCAGUGGCGAAGGCGGCUCUCUGGUCUGUAACUGACGCUGAGGCUCGAAAGCGUGGGGAGCAAACAGG
This 429-nucleotide ribosomal RNA is filed under the name Gemmatimonadota bacterium. RNAcentral describes it as "Gemmatimonadetes bacterium partial 16S ribosomal RNA". It matches the Rfam family "Bacterial small subunit ribosomal RNA", at positions 355 to 776 of the family's 1533-position model. Lineage: Bacteria; Pseudomonadati; Gemmatimonadota. The record is from RNAcentral.